This 2987-nucleotide long non-coding RNA is filed under the name Sus scrofa (pig). Its description in RNAcentral is "lncRNA (ENSSSCG00040047143.1)". Lineage: Eukaryota; Metazoa; Chordata; Mammalia; Artiodactyla; Suidae. The record is from RNAcentral.
GGAUCUAGGCAAUUUCUCUUCUGUUGGUGUCCCAAUAUCUCAACAGGCCUUACUCAUGGAAAUUGGUUAUUUCACUGCAUUACAAGCCACGUCAGAGCCAUCACCGAGCAGGCAGGUUCUGAAUGCUUCCAGAUGGGAGGUAUGAUGUCAUGUUUUGAGCUGACAUGGGUGGACUUUGGUGAUGAGAGGGCUGGUAGCUUAUGUCAUGGGGAUCACCAUCUCUGGGACAUGCUGGUCAAAGGCAUUUGUAAGCAAAGAAAGAGCAUCAAGAAUAUUUUUAAUCACUCAUACAUUAACCUUCUUCAUAGGCCAAGAAGCAAUCUCAAGCUUGAGUUCCUAUGGCAGAUUGGAUAUUUUCAACAUGGCUGCAACAAUAUUUGCUGUCCUGCGUGCUUUUCCAGAACCUAACCAUGGCAUGUCCCCCCACCCUCCCAUCCCAUCAAGGGCUCAGUUUAUGUCCCCUCCCCUUGAUGAAUCGAAAGAGGUGGAAAUGAUGCUAUAUGGCUGCUGAGGCUGGGCCGGCAAAGGGCACGCUCUUGCUCUUCUGUCUCAUGGACACGCCUUUGCAGCCCUCAGUCUCCAUGUAACACACCUGAGGCAGCCAUACACGAAGGAAGCCCAAGCCAGCCCACAUGUAGAGACCAUACUAUUAUUUUUUUAAUUGACUCUUAUUGUUUCUUUAGGUAUGUAUUUCGUAUCUGACUCCCAUAUACCAAAACUCUGCAAUCGAUUCUAAUAAUUUGCAAUUAUGCUUUAAAAGUGGACAAUAGUAUCACUUGCAAAUAAUGAUGCUUCUAUCAUCUCCCUUUUAAUACUUAAUUACUCUUAUUUUUUUUUUUUCUUUUUCUGGCAUAUGGAAGUUCCUGGGCGAGGGGUCGAAUUAGAGCUGCAGCUGCCGGCCUGUGCAACAGCUACAGCAACAUCGGAUCCAAGCUGCAUCUGCGACCUAUGCUGCAGCUUGUGGCAUCUCUGGAUCCUUAACCCACUGAGUGAGGGAAGGGAUGGAACCCGCAUCCUCACAGAGACAAUGUCAGGUCUUUAACCUGCUGAUCCACAAUGGGAACUCCCUUAUUUUUAAUUUUUUGAACCAUUUUUUUGAAAUUUAUUUUUUUGGCCAUGCCUGCAGCAUGUGGAAGUUCCUGGGCUAAGAGUCAAACCCACAGCAGCAACCAAAGUCACUGCAGGGCAGCACCAGAUCCUUCACCUGCUGCACCACUAGGGAAUUACCAACCAUUUAAAAAUAUACAACGUUGUGCCUUCCCUGAUGCCUCAGUGGGUUAAGGGUCUGGUGUGGUCAUUGCCAUGGCUUGGAUCACUGCUUUGAUGUGGGUUUGAUCCCUGGGAAUGUCUACAUGCGCUGGGCUUGACCGAAAAAAACAAAACAAAACAAUUUCGUGUCGUUAAGCUCAUUUGCAGUGGUAUACAGUCUUCAUCACUAUCCAUUUUUUUUUUUUUUAUUUUUUAUUUUUUAAGGACCACAACUUUGGCAUAUGGAAGUUCCCAGGCUAGGGGUCACGUCGGAGAUGCAGCUGCCAGCCUACACCACAGCCACAGCCACGCCAGGUCAGAGCCACGCCUGUGACCUAUACCACAGCUCAUGCAAUGCCGGAUCCUUAACCCACUGAGUGAGGCCAGGGAUUGAACCCACAUCCUCAUGGAUACUAGUCAGAUUCUUAACCUGCUGAGCCACAGUGGGAACUCCAUCAUCACUGUCCCUUCUAGAGCUUUGUCAUCCUCCUCCCCAAACACUCAGUGCUCAUUAAACAGUGGCUUUCAAUCCUCCGAUUCCCCCACCCCUCCCCAGUCUUUAGCUCCUGGGCUCACCAUUCUACUUUCUGUCUCUGUGAAUUUGCCUGUUUGAGAUACUUCACGUAGUGGACGCAUCCAAAAUUUUGGAUAGCCUUUCUUUAAAUAAGAUUUUAUUGGAAUACAGCCAUGCUCAUCCAUUUAUGUUUUGUCUGUAACCCUUUUUGCCCUUCAACAGCAGAGGUGAGGCAUUCUAAUAGAUAAGGUAUGACCUGCAGCUGAAAACCCACUGUCUUUUGCUUUACACGGAAAGUUUUCAGAUCCUUGAACUUGACUGGGGGAUGGCUAUGAUUAUUCCAUUAGCAUGGGAAAGGUGCCUCUUUUCCAGGCCAUUGACUGUAGAUUUUUACAGCAUAAAAGUUGCCGAGACCUUUAACUCUGCUUGGUCAGAUUCCUCCUCUGUUUUCAGCCUCCCUCAUUUCUGUGGUUAAAAAAUGCACACCCUUUUAGAAUUCUGUCUGCCUUCUCUCCUGGAUUUGCUUCUCCCUCCAAGAUGGAACGGACCUGUAAAACUCUUCUUCCACCCUUGAAUUCAGCAAUUUAAUGCCCUUUUUUUCUGCUCGAUCAUCUUCAUUCCUUUCCAUUGUGUAGAACAGAACCCCCUCUGAUCCACACUGCCCCCUUCACAGUUGUGUUGCCGUUAAGAAAUAAGAUCUGCCAACAAAUCUGACUCUGCAGGCUCCCCCUUUCACUAAGGUGAGUAAUGAACUAGUUCUCCCUAUGGAGAUGGUGACCUCUGUGGUAUCAUGUGAUCCCUCCAUGAAGAAGACGACUUUACCCCGGAGUUGUACGACCGCGACAGUACCUGUGCUUUCAGCGUCAUUUCUCACUUGCCUAGGCCUUUAUUUAAGAAGGCAAUUCAGGUUGCCAUUUUCGUUUAUUUUUCCAAGAUGUAUCGUUCUAGCCAUCCCGUUGAACUUGCUUUUUGAUGGGAAGCGGUGUCUGUAAAUGAUGCAGACUUUCUAGGGCCUCGGGUGUCCUGUGGCCUUGAGUCGUACCACUGCUCUCUGCAGUUUUGUCCACUAUGGACUUGGGUGCAUUUGAGUAUAAGUAACUACAUUAAAAAAAAAAAAAGUCCGUCAUUUUGCUCUCCUCCCACAAAACAAACCCAGAUCUCAUCCGGGUGACACUGCCGUCAGUCACUUCCCCUGAACAUCUUCCUAAAGAUCAACAUUAGGGAG